This 1553-nucleotide unclassified non-coding RNA is filed under the name Zea mays. Its description in RNAcentral is "misc RNA Zm00001eb231680". Lineage: Eukaryota; Viridiplantae; Streptophyta; Magnoliopsida; Poales; Poaceae. The record is from RNAcentral.
CGAGAAAAUGCUGUCUCUGGAAAGAAUUUCUUUACACAGCCGUCGUCUUGGGUUCUUCAGGAAGCUAUCACUCAGCUGAUUUUUAUCUCUCGUACGUUCUGCCAGGGAGAAGAUUUUUCUUCCAUGGCCCUGGAUUUUUCAGCGCUCAGCGUCUUCCUCUGCCGCACGCCGGCAGCAGUUCUCCUCCCUCCAGCUCGCUGGCGUUAUCCUCUGCGCCGCUUUGGCUUACAAAAAUCCUGGCUGCCGGUGUUUAUCUCCUCACGGCGCCGCCCCUGGGACUCUUCAAAUACCCUGCCGUGCUCUCUCUCUUCUCUGUUCCUCUCGUUCCCUGACGAGCUGCCAUGGCGUCCUCGUCUGUCGCGGUAUCCCGGCUCCUCGCCCAGGACGGCACUCGGCCCUGCCCCUGCCCCAGCUUCCUGCGCGCCAUGGCGAUUUCUUCAAGCUCGCUCCAGCGCCGCUUCUUUUCCCCAACCGCGCCACGCGGCCUGUCUCCCUGUGCGCUCGAUUCAGUUCGUUUCCUCCCUGGACGCGCGCUCUGCAGCUUGUCGGAGCACCCUGCGUCGCGCCCAGGUGCUUUGCUUCUUGCUCGCCGUUCCAACUUCUCCUGCCAUGGAGCUCGCCGAGCCCUCCCCAGCCGUUCCUCCUCCUGUAGCUCGCCCCUGCGCGUGCGUCUUCUCGCGUCGUCCCUGCGUCGCGCGCGCGUUCCUUCCUGUGCGCGCCAGCAGCCGCGUCUCUCCGGUGUUUCCUCCCUGCGUGCGCGAAAUUUCCUUGCUCGCUGGGGCGCUUGGUCCGUGCUCCACUGUGCCGCUGUUUGUCUGCACGCGUCAAGCUCCCGUGCUGAAUCUAGCCCCAUGUUGACGCGUUCCUGUUCCAGCUUAUCGUGUUGCGUCGUCAUCACUUUCUGUCGCGAGCUCGAUUCCCGUUGUCAUCGGGCUUUAUGUGUGCUCGCGUUUGCCGUCGAGUCGAUGAACCCGUCAUCCCCUGCUCAACCCUACCCCGCCUGCUCGCUCCAGACACAAUCUCGUCAUCGUCCCGCGCGUCAUCAAGAAUCCCAAGAAUCGGGUGAAGACGAAGCUAGCAGCGCGAUAUUCCCCAAGCGCUCGACAAUUGCCUGGAUCGGAAAAUCACUACCGAUCUCGCGGAUUCGAAUCGGCUAUUGAAACGGUACGUUAAUUAAUCGCGUGAUGCGGAAGACAAGCCAAGUCAACCCCAAACGCGGGCUAACCCGCAGGAUGAUGUAGAUGGAUAACCCGAUUAAGUACCAAGACAAAGGCUGCUCGUCAAGCGAACGUCGUCUAACAACACUAACCUAGUGUUACUCAGGCAAGCCCCGGUGCAUUUGCCACCCUCCUUGAUGUUUUUAAAAAUCUUUCUCACUUGCUUGAUGCAUUAGGUGAUAGGAGUUGAUUGAUAAAACAAUUCCUGCAUUACCUUCCUUGAAUUCGAUUACCUCCCUUGAUCACCCGUUUUACAAAAUAUUUUUGAUGCUUAGCCUUGCUUUAGAAAAACAAAAUGUUUUGUUUUCCAAAAUAUGAUGUGGCAAAAGUGGGUGG